GACGAACGCUGGCGGCGUGCUUAACACAUGCAAGUCGAACGAGGCCACCCUUUCGGGGGUGAGUCGAGUGGCGGACGGGUGAGUAACACGUGAGCGACCUAUCCUGGUACGGGGGAUAAC
RNAcentral lists this ribosomal RNA (120 nucleotides) under uncultured bacterium. RNAcentral's name for it is "partial 16S ribosomal RNA". It matches the Rfam family "Bacterial small subunit ribosomal RNA", at positions 28 to 147 of the family's 1533-position model. The record is from RNAcentral.